CGGGGUGUGGCUCAGUUGGUAGAGCACUAUCUUAGGGAGGUAGGGGCCGCGUGUUCGAAUCACGUCACUCCGACUA
This 76-nucleotide transfer RNA is filed under the name Butyrivibrio hungatei. RNAcentral describes it as "tRNA_Pro_AGG". It matches the Rfam family "tRNA". From Rfam's summary of the family: Transfer RNA (tRNA) molecules are approximately 80 nucleotides in length. RNAcentral also lists the same sequence under 1 other name. Lineage: Bacteria; Bacillati; Bacillota; Clostridia; Lachnospirales; Lachnospiraceae. The record is from RNAcentral.